Long non-coding RNA from Salvelinus sp. IW2-2015, 269 nucleotides. RefSeq lists it as uncharacterized. The record is from RefSeq and is a predicted model, not a curated record. The transcript is spliced from 3 exons. Lineage: Eukaryota; Metazoa; Chordata; Actinopteri; Salmoniformes; Salmonidae.
CGCGAGGAGGAGGAGGAGGAGGAGGGAUGAGGCGCGCGGAGGGGAAAUGGCUGCCGAAAACAAGCCGGAAGGGUUGAAAAGGAUAAGGAAUCCAGAGCGGAUGAUUAGAAUCGCCGUGGGAUACACAGGACAUGCCCCUCCCAAGAGUGAUGACACUGACACCAACGGUGAGCCUGGCCAGUUGAAGAUCUACCUACCUAAGAAGCUGUUGGAGUGUUUGCCCAAAUGUUCCUCUCUGCCCAAGGAGCGCCACCGCUGGAACACCAAUG